CUCACCUCCCACGUCCAUCUCAGGGCAAGUGACCAACAGAGAAAAUUUGUUUUCUUUAUAGAAAAAUUAUAGCUGAUGAAGAAUGAAUGAAUGAUGGAGUUUCACCAUUUUGAGAGCCCUAAUAAAAUCAUGAACUUAAUUAAUGGGCAUCAAUCAAAUGGCAGAAAGAAUUUGAGUGGGAAAAGCUGAUGGGAACUUCAUUCAUAUCAGAGAGACCACAAGGACAACAACACCUAUACUGUCCAAGUGGUCUUCCAAUAAUAUGCAUAAUAUGCAAUACAGUAAUAUACAACACUACCAGUAGGGUGUCCUUGCCUUAAGCUAAAUGUUACCAACAAAAAAAGAAAGGGGGGGGGGGCAAGAAACUGACUCAGUAGAACCAUCAUAGGAACUCACUCAGUCAAAUUUAGAACACUGAAAAUUCUACUCAGCAACAACUGUAUUUUUCAACAUGGGAGAAAAUAGAAAAGAGCGGCAGAAAAUGUAAUGAGGCUUUCCGGAGCAGAUCAAAAGCAAGUUUCUGAAGAUAAACUUGGAAGCGAUAAGGGAAAAGUACACUGCCAAUAGAGAUUUGUCACCUGAGAACAUGGAACAAGGCUACGAAAUCUAUUCAAGACCUGAAGCACAUGGUGAAGAUAAGUUUUACCUGAUUUUACCGGGGAUUUACACCACAAUGCCUGGUGAGUACGAAACGUUCGUAAAAACUCUUUCUUCCCAGGGAGAACCUUACAGGACCCCAAGUUGCUAAGGAAAGGACAUGAACAGCCAGUCACCACCGUCUUCAGCAGAUGUGCCAUGCUGCUUUAUGCUCCCAACGGUUCAAAUCCCCAAUCCCUUGAAGGUAGAUUACUAAAAAGAAAGAGAAGAACAUGUUUAUAUGCCAAGAAAAAAGUUACCUUGUCAACUGAGCUUGAAAAAAGCAUAUAAAUUGUCCAUCUAAAGGGUCUGCGUCUGGAAUACACUUGUAUGCUGCCAUCUACAAAGAAUUUAAUUGUCAAGUCAUUUACUUGUGGACAACACUUCAAAAAUC
Long non-coding RNA from Mastomys coucha (southern multimammate mouse), 1030 nucleotides. RefSeq lists it as uncharacterized. NCBI's taxonomy places the organism in Eukaryota, Metazoa, Chordata, Mammalia, Rodentia, Muridae. The record is from RefSeq and is a predicted model, not a curated record. The transcript is spliced from 3 exons.